This 398-nucleotide ribosomal RNA is filed under the name uncultured bacterium. Its description in RNAcentral is "bacterial SSU rRNA". It matches the Rfam family "Bacterial small subunit ribosomal RNA", at positions 358 to 773 of the family's 1533-position model. The record is from RNAcentral.
GGAAUCUUAGACAAUGGGCGCAAGCCUGAUCUAGCCAUGCCGCGUGAGCGAUGAAGGCCUUAGGGUUGUAAAGCUCUUUCACCGGGGAAGAUCAUGACGGUACCCGGACACGAAGCCCCGGCUAACUCCGUCCCAGCAGCCCCGGUAAUACGGAGGGGGCUAGCGUUGUUCGGAAUUACUGGGCGUAAAGCGCGCGUAGGCGGGCUGUUAAGUCGGGGGUGAAAUCCCGGGGCGCAACCCCGGAACUGCCUUCGAUACUGGCAGCCUGGAGUCCGAGAGAGGUGAGUGGAAUUCCGAGUGUAGAGGUGAAAUUCGUAGAUAUUCGGAGGAACACCAGUGGCGAAGGCGGCUCACUGGCUCGGUAUUGACGCUGAGGUGCGAAAGCGUGGGGAGCAAAC